Molecule: long non-coding RNA, 377 nt
Organism: Amphiprion ocellaris (clown anemonefish)
Lineage: Eukaryota; Metazoa; Chordata; Actinopteri; Pomacentridae
Source: Ensembl
UGUGAGGAAGGCUCUGGGUUUUAUGGGAAAGGAUAAAUGUUUUAUUGUGAAGGUCUGUUCUUCUUCUAUGGUAGAAUGUGAGGAAGGCUCUGGGUUUUAUUGUGAAAGGAUGAAUGUUUUAUUGUGAAGGUCUGUUCUUCUUCUAUGCUAGAAUGUGAGGAAGGCUCUGGGUUUUACUGUGAAUAGAUCAGUGUUUUAUUGUGAAGGUGUGUUCGUCCAUGGUAGAAUGUGAGGAAGGCUCUGGGUUUUAUUGUGAAAGGAUCAGGUGUUUUAUUGUGAAAGUCUGUUCUUCUUCUAUGGUAGAAUGUGAGGAAGGCUCUGGGUUUUAUUGUGAAAGGACUAGUGUUUUAUUGUAAAGGUGUGUUCUUCUAUGGUAG